This 138-nucleotide small nucleolar RNA is filed under the name Ornithorhynchus anatinus (platypus). The record is from RNAcentral. Lineage: Eukaryota; Metazoa; Chordata; Mammalia; Monotremata; Ornithorhynchidae.
AGCCUCUCAGGGUCAUACCUGGAGAGUUUCUAGUACUCUACCAGUCUCAGCUACGGGAGGGAGUGUCGAACAGAGGUCUACCCAUUCCAUUCCUAGCUUGGCCAGUGGCUAGCGAGUGGAAGGCAAUCUGCUACAAGU